GAACUGAAACAUCUAAGUACCCCGAGGAAAAGAAAUCAACCGAGAUUCCCCCAGUAGCGGCGAGCGAACGGGGAGCAGCCCAGAGCCUGAAUCAGUGUGUGUGUUAGUGGAAGCGUCUGGAAAGGCGUGCGAUACAGGGUGACAGCCCCGUACACAAAAAUGCACAUAUUGUGAGCUCGAUGAGUAGGGCGGGACACGUGGUA
Molecule: ribosomal RNA, 203 nt
Filed under: Escherichia coli
Lineage: Bacteria; Pseudomonadati; Pseudomonadota; Gammaproteobacteria; Enterobacterales; Enterobacteriaceae
Description: partial 23S ribosomal RNA
Rfam family: Bacterial large subunit ribosomal RNA
Source: RNAcentral